RNAcentral lists this small nucleolar RNA (134 nucleotides) under Catagonus wagneri (Chacoan peccary). RNAcentral's name for it is "Small nucleolar RNA SNORA31 (ENSCWAG00000017137.1)". Lineage: Eukaryota; Metazoa; Chordata; Mammalia; Artiodactyla; Tayassuidae. The record is from Rfam by way of RNAcentral.
CGUAUCUCAAUUUGAUAGCCCUGGAGCUGUUACUAUCUGCUAUUAAGGUUUCCACUACAGGUGCCAGAAAAAGUGUUCUUAUACUUUCCGUCUGUCUGAUUGUGGCAGCACAGAGUGAAUGAGGGAAUACAGGG